AUGCGUUGUUGGGUAGGGGAGCGUUCUGUAAGCCUGUGAAGGUGUGCUGUGAGGCAUGCUGGAGGUAUCAGAAGUGCGAAUGCUGACAUAAGUAACGAUAAAGCGGGUGAAAAGCCCGCUCGCCGGAAGACCAAGGGUUCCUGUCCAACGUUAAUCGGGGCAGGGUGAGUCGACCCCUAAGGCGAGGCCGAAAGGCGUAGUCGAUGGGAAACAGGUUAAUAUUCCUGUACUUGGUGUUACUGCGAAGGGGGGACGGAGAAGGCUAUGUUGGCCGGGCGACGGUUGUCCCGGUUUAAGCGUGUAGGCUGGUUUUCCAGGCAAAUCCGGAAAAUCAAGGCUGAGGCGUGAUGACGAGGCACUACGGUGCUGAAGCAACAAAUGCCCUGCUUCCAGGAAAAGCCUCUAAGCAUCAGGUAACAUCAAAUCGUACCCCAAACCGACACAGGUGGUCAGGUAGAGAAUACCAAGGCGCUUGAGAGAACUCGGGUGAAGGAACUAGGCAAAAUGGUGCCGUAACUUCGGGAGAAGGCACGCUGAUAUGUAGGUGAAGUCCCUCGCGGAUGGAGCUGAAAUCAGUCGAAGAUACCAGCUGGCUGCAACUGUUUAUUAAAAACACAGCACUGUGCAAACACGAAAGUGGACGUAUACGGUGUGACGCCUGCCCGGUGCCGGAAGGUUAAUUGAUGGGGUCAGCGCAAGCGAAGCUCUUGAUCGAAGCCCCGGUAAACGGCGGCCGUAACUAUAACGGUCCUAAGGUAGCGAAAUUCCUUGUCGGGUAAGUUCCGACCUGCACGAAUGGCGUAAUGAUGGCCAGGCUGUCUCCACCCGAGACUCAGUGAAAUUGAACUCGCUGUGAAGAUGCAGUGUACCCGCGGCAAGACGGAAAGACCCCGUGAACCUUUACUAUAGCUUGACACUGAACAUUGAGCCUUGAUGUGUAGGAUAGGUGGGAGGCUUAGAAGUGUGGACGCCAGUCUGCAUGGAGCCGACCUUGAAAUACCACCCUUUAAUGUUUGAUGUUCUAACGUUGACCCGUAAUCCGGGUUGCGGACAGUGUCUGGUGGGUAGUUUGACUGGGGCGGUCUCCUCCUAAAGAGUAACGGAGGAGCACGAAGGUUGGCUAAUCCUGGUCGGACAUCAGGAGGUUAGUGCAAUGGCAUAAGCCAGCUUGACUGCGAGCGUGACGGCGCGAGCAGGUGCGAAAGCAGGUCAUAGUGAUCCGGUGGUUCUGAAUGGAAGGGCCAUCGCUCAACGGAUAAAAGGUACUCCGGGGAUAACAGGCUGAUACCGCCCAAGAGUUCAUAUCGACGGCGGUGUUUGGCACCUCGAUGUCGGCUCAUCACAUCCUGGGGCUGAAGUAGGUCCCAAGGGUAUGGCUGUUCGCCAUUUAAAGUGGUACGCGAGCUGGGUUUAGAACGUCGUGAGACAGUUCGGUCCCUAUCUGCCGUGGGCGCUGGAGAACUGAGGGGGGCUGCUCCUAGUACGAGAGGACCGGAGUGGACGCAUCACUGGUGUUCGGGUUGUCAUGCCAAUGGCACUGCCCGGUAGCUAAAUGCGGAAGAGAUAAGUGCUGAAAGCAUCUAAGCACGAAACUUGCCCCGAGAUGAGUUCUCCCUGAC
This 1619-nucleotide ribosomal RNA is filed under the name Escherichia coli. RNAcentral's name for it is "bacterial LSU rRNA". It matches the Rfam family "Bacterial large subunit ribosomal RNA", at positions 1216 to 2819 of the family's 2925-position model. The record is from RNAcentral. Lineage: Bacteria; Pseudomonadati; Pseudomonadota; Gammaproteobacteria; Enterobacterales; Enterobacteriaceae.